GACGAACGCUGGCGGCGUGCUUAACACAUGCAAGUCGAACGGAAAGGCCCUGCUUUUGUGGGGUGCUCGAGUGGCGAACGGGUGAGUAACACGUGAGUAACCUGCCCUUGACUUUGGGAUAACUUCAGGAAACUGGGGCUAAUACCGGAUAGGAGCUCCUGCUGCAUGGGGGGGGUUGGAAAGUUUCGGCGGUUGGGGAUGGACUCGCGGCUUAUCAGCUUGUUGGUGGGGUAGUGGCUUACCAAGGCUUUGACGGGUAGCCGGCCUGAGAGGGUGACCGGCCACAUUGGGACUGAGAUACGGCCCAGACUCCUAUGGGAGGCAGCAGUGGGGAAUAUUGCACAAUGGGCGGAAGCCUGAUGCAGCAACGCCGCGUGCGGGAUGACGGCCUUCGGGUUGUAAACCGCUUUCGCCUGUGACGAAGCGUGAGUGACGGUAAUGGGUAAAGAAGCACCGGCUAACUACGUG
RNAcentral lists this ribosomal RNA (468 nucleotides) under uncultured bacterium. RNAcentral's name for it is "partial 16S ribosomal RNA". It matches the Rfam family "Bacterial small subunit ribosomal RNA", at positions 28 to 507 of the family's 1533-position model. The record is from RNAcentral.